GAUGAACGCUGGCGGCGUGCCUAAUACAUGCAAGUCGAGCGAACAGACGAGGAGCUUGCUCCUCUGACGUUAGCGGCGGACGGGUGAGUAACACGUGGAUAACCUACCUAUAAGACUGGGAUAACUUCGGGAAACCGGAGCUAAUACCGGAUAAUAUAUUGAACCGCAUGGUUCAAUAGUGAAAGACGGUUUUGCUGUCACUUAUAGAUGGAUCCGCGCCGCAUUAGCUAGUUGGUAAGGUAACGGCUUACCAAGGCAACGAUGCGUAGCCGACCUGAGAGGGUGAUCGGCCACACUGGAACUGAGACACGGUCCAGACUCCUACGGGAGGCAGCAGUAGGGAAUCUUCCGCAAUGGGCGAAAGCCUGACGAAGCAACGCCGCGUGAGUGAUGAAGGUCUUCGGAUCGUAAAACUCUGUUAUUAGGGAAGAACAAAUGUGUAAGUAACUAUGCACGUCUUGACGGUACCUAAUCAGAAAGCCACGGCUAACUACGUG
This 497-nucleotide ribosomal RNA is filed under the name uncultured bacterium. RNAcentral's name for it is "partial 16S ribosomal RNA". It matches the Rfam family "Bacterial small subunit ribosomal RNA", at positions 28 to 507 of the family's 1533-position model. The record is from RNAcentral.